Long non-coding RNA from Herpailurus yagouaroundi (jaguarundi), 1689 nucleotides. RefSeq lists it as uncharacterized. The transcript has 3 exons. NCBI's taxonomy places the organism in Eukaryota, Metazoa, Chordata, Mammalia, Carnivora, Felidae. The record is from RefSeq and is a predicted model, not a curated record.
UUCCUUCCUUCCCUGCCCAUCUUCCUUUCUCUAGUCCCUACCCCAUACCCCUGUCUCUCUUCUCUCUCUCUCUCUCUUCCUUCCCUUCCUGUCAGUGCUACGCUCCCGGAACCUAACAGGGAACAGCAGGUUCUGGCCAAUCCCAAAUGCCAGGAGGUGGAACACAGAAUCUGGAGACACUUUGCAAGCCUGACCUAGAAUGAGAGACGCUGUCACCCCCAUACACCUCCCCAGGAGCAGGACUGGUCCUCUGUGCCCCGUGUCCAUCUGCCACAGGGGCUGACACCUAACACGUAUCACUCGGUAGAGGAAAUAGACAACCGAGAAUAAGUCCACUGAGUGUAGCUACGGAUGAAAACGCUUCUUUAUUUUUGUAACUGUUUCUGUCACUGCAGUCACAGCCUGUUCUCGACGGGCCUGCCCACUGGAGCUGGGGAAAGCCGGCUGCCUGCCCAAUCCUCGGUGACGACUGUGGGGACAGUGAUGGCGAAGGGGGUGUGCGGUGGCCAGUAAGGCAUCAUUAACAUGGUGGAGGUGAUUAGGGUAGCAUUUCUGACGUGGAGGCAGUGGUGGGGGUGAGAGUAAGUAUGGCGGUGAUAGUGGAGUUGAUAAUGACAGACGAGGUGCUGGUGGUGGUGACACUGACCCUGGACGUGUAACAAUGGACGGGAUGGACGGUCAUUGGGUACCAUUGAUAGUGACAGUGGAGGUGUGAUGGGGAGGUGAUGGAAAGGUUACUAUUGGGGAGGGUGGUCAUGGCAGCCACGGUCCUGGAGGUGGUGACGUUGGUGACGGUGAUGGUGACGAAGGCAACGGAGUAGAGGAAGUUGCGUGUUGUACAGCUUUGCUUUGGUAACAACCCCCACAUCCCAGAGCCUUAUGACAGCCAUUUAGGCCUUGCCCACUUCCGUCAGCUGCUGGGCUUCCAACUCGUAUGUCUUCUCAUCUGGGAUUCCGGAUGAGGAAGGGCUCCGGUCUGGAACGUGGCGUUCUCGUGGCAGAGAGGGUGGGAGAAAGAGCCGGGCAAAAGGCAGAGUGCCUCUGGAAACUUCUCCCGGGAUGGGAUGUACGUCACCCUGGCUCAUGCCAUGAGGCCAAGGCCAGCAUCAGCGAGGUGGGGAAUGGCACUCCUUCAGGAAGGGUCCGCACGUCUCAGGCUACAGGUGGGGAGGCACAAUCCUCUUAGGGAGUGGGUGAUCCUGCAGCAUGCGGGGGGUGGGGGGUGGCCCCGGUGCUGCCGGCGAUGGCAAUGCUCUGGUGACCGAAGCGCUGCUCAACACGACAGGACCUGUGACAGCAAUGGAGGGCUUGCUGACAACAGUCACAAUGUGCUCUAGCUACGGUGUUGAUGCUGAUGGUGAUGAAGCAGCAGGUGUGGUGUUCUGGAGUUUCUGUGGCUAACUCAGUGUUGCCGCCUCCCUCCUCCGUGGUCCCCUCGGCGUCCUAGAGAAUUCGGAAAGAUUUUCCAGAAUCCCCUUCCCCAUGUGGUUCCAGGGUGGAGUCUGCCAAUGCAUGAGCGACGGAAAGCGGAGGAGAGAGAGGCCGUUGUGGGCCGAUGGCAACUGGAGGGCCCCUGGUUCUCUAACUGCAUUACCUUCAGGAUGGAUGGGUGACAGCGAUGGAUGGGCCACUGGAUGGACAGUGACAGAGCACAAGCAGAAGAGGAGCAGAGAGAGAGAGAAGAAGACA